This 412-nucleotide unclassified non-coding RNA is filed under the name soil metagenome. Its description in RNAcentral is "partial contains 5.8S ribosomal RNA, internal transcribed spacer 2, and large subunit ribosomal RNA". The stretch from base 1 to 122 matches the Rfam family "5.8S ribosomal RNA", at positions 35 to 154 of the family's 154-position model. The record is from RNAcentral.
GAUGAAGAACGUAGCGAAAUGCGAUACUUGGUGUGAAUUGCAGAAUCCCGUGAACCAUCGAGUUUUUGAACGCAAGUUGCGCCCGAAGCCGUCAGGCCGAGGGCACGCCUGCCUGGGCGUCACACGCCGUUGCCCCCCCGCGCCCCGCACCCAACGCUUUGGGAGCGACCGCGGGGCGGGCUGAUGAUGGCCUCCCGUGCGCUCCGCCGCGCGGUUGGCCCAAAUACCGAGUCCCCGGCGACGUGCGCCACGACGAUCGGUGGUUGAGAGACCUCUGUCGCAAGUCGUGCGCGCCCGUCGCGUCACGCGGGCUCGCAUAGCGCCUCGCGCCGCACCCGGUGCGGAGCUUUCAACGCGACCCCAGGUCAGGCGGGGUUACCCGCUGAAUUUAAGCAUAUCAAUAAGCGGAGGA